UGAACUGCUAGAAAAAUUACCUUCUGAUUGGAUAAAGAAAGGAAUUGGAAAUUGUUAUUAUGCCACUGUAGAAGCAAAAUCUUCAUAGUGCUAUGUCAUCUCUGGAACGUUUUGAAGAUGUGGAUCGAACAUGGGAAACAGUCGAAAAGACUAUAUGGGGUCAUAUUGCCAACUUCUUUAAACUUGCUAAAGAAAGCCCUCAAUUGUUGGUGCGCUAAGGUAUUUGAGGAAUGUGCCACUGAAAACAAGAAAAAGCAGAGUAAGCCUCAGGAGAAAAACCAUUAACAUAUCAGUGAAGG
Non-coding RNA from Amborella trichopoda, 299 nucleotides. The record is from RefSeq and is a predicted model, not a curated record. Lineage: Eukaryota; Viridiplantae; Streptophyta; Magnoliopsida; Amborellales; Amborellaceae.